CCUACGGGAGGCAGCAGUGAGGAAUAUUGGUCAAUGGGCGCGAGCCUGAACCAGCCAAGUCGCGUGAGGGAAGACGGUCCUAUGGAUUGUAAACCUCUUUUGUCGGGGAGCAAAAGACGCCACGCGUGGCGUUCCGAGAGUACCCGAAGAAAAAGCAUCGGCUAACUCCGUGCCAGCAGCCGCGGUAAUACGGAGGAUGCGAGCGUUAUCCGGAUUUAUUGGGUUUAAAGGGUGCGCAGGCGGAAGAUCAAGUCAGCGGGAAAAUUGAGAGGCUCAACCUCUUAGAGCCGUUGAAACUGGUUUUCUUGAGUGAGUGAGAAGUAUGCGGAAGGCGUGGUGUAGCGGUGAAAUGCAUAGAUAUCACGCAGAAAUGCGAUUGCGAAGGCAGCAUACCGGCGCUCAACUGACGCUCAUGCACGAAAGUGUGGGUAUCGAACAGGAUUAGAUACCCUUGUAGUC
This 459-nucleotide ribosomal RNA is filed under the name uncultured bacterium. RNAcentral describes it as "partial 16S ribosomal RNA". It matches the Rfam family "Bacterial small subunit ribosomal RNA", at positions 338 to 795 of the family's 1533-position model. The record is from RNAcentral.